Long non-coding RNA from Myiozetetes cayanensis, 3479 nucleotides. RefSeq lists it as uncharacterized. NCBI's taxonomy places the organism in Eukaryota, Metazoa, Chordata, Aves, Passeriformes, Tyrannidae. The record is from RefSeq and is a predicted model, not a curated record. The transcript has 2 exons.
GCGGCGGCUCCCGCCCGCCCCGGCGGGAGCGGCGGUGUCUGUAACCCCUGCGAGCCCGCUCGGGACAGCCACACACAGCGCUCACGGAACGCGCGGCCCCCGCCGCUGCCGGGCUUCGGGCAAUGCUUGUUGCUCCCGUGGCAGUGCCGAGCUCCACGGACAAAUCCCGAUCUCCUCAUGCGGGGGGGAAAAAAAGCUCUGACGAGCCUCCUGAUCCAGCUACCGGGCGAACGAUGGACUCGUUACGGACCAACAGGAAGGAAAACCCACCGGUUAUCACUCAGAGUGGCAUCGCGACCCUUUCUGUCCGUUUUAUCCAUUUCAUUUCCAUCUUUUGCAUUUCAAACAAACCGAGAAGCAAAAUUUAAGCUGCUCUAACGAGACUUGCUGGCAAGUCCGUACAUCGCCCGAUGAAGGAAGGACAGCCAUGUCCCCCAGCUCCUGCAGCCAGACACAAGGAAUUCGGAUCAGGAGUGUUGACAAGUGAGGUACUGGUAUCCACUGCAGCUUCAAUUCCUGUAGCAUCUGAUCACCACAGGCUGAAGCCACAUGACAUCUACUGGAAACCAGAGGUAUGGCCAUAACAUGAAGCUACAAUCGGAUGAGCAUCAGAUUCCGUGCCCUACGGUACACAGGCAUCUGCACAGCAUCUGACAGCUUUACAGGAGUGUGACAGCCUUGCAUACACAUAAUGCUCUAUGUAUACCUACAAUAAGAUUCCUGUGAAAUGCAUGUUAUAAUUACAGUUUCAACAUACGCUAAGAGUUACGAAGGGAGACUGGGCACUAACAAAAUCAGUCACCUAAACUACAGCCUAUUAACAGCAAUGGGAAUUAUCACACAGACAACAACGGUAUUUAAAUCUAGCUCACUUUUUUCUCACAGUACCUUAUAAGGCACAAAGGUACCAUUCAAAUACAUUCCAAAUGCCAGAAACCUUAUAUUAGGCCUGUGGAGAAAAGCAGAUGUAAAGUGUAUAUAUAUAAAUAGGGGAAGAGUUUUGGGUUGAGGAUUGGAAUUUGUUUUCUUAAAAAUGAGCAAGUGUACAGGUGCAGUAGUCCUUCAAGAGUUAAAUCAUAAAACAGACCACCUUAACACAAUGCUUAGUCACAACAGUGGUUCGGCCAUUAAGCAUUCUGCUUUUGACUAUUUAAUUACCACAGAAGUUAAAAUCCUUUAAAAAAAUCAGUGAUAUAUCAUCCCAUUUUUAGGACACUAUCAGGAAAGAUCUAAAUCAGAUUAUAUAAAGUAGCGCAUGCUUCUCAGUAAAUAUGUAAAAAAAUGGAGGUCUUACAGAGAAAAUAUUUGAGAUGGCUCAUUUCUUUGCUGUCUGAGGUCCCAUAUUUUUAACUGUCCAAUUGAAUUUACUGUCAAGAUCUCAGUUGUGCGAAGGAAAGUCACUGCAUGGAGUGUACUGCUGUCCGCAUUGUCUGCAAGAGAUGAGAAAACCAUUCAGGUAAACCUAUGGAAUGCUAAUCUCCAUUUAAUUACAACAAAAUAACUCUUUAUAGAAAACAGAAACAUGCUUACAACCUCUGCAUUUUCAGCAUCAGGGACAGAUCAGUAUCUGCAAAUACUCGGUGAAAAAGGAGCCCUUGCUUCCUAUAUCAAACACUUCUGAGACAAAUCUGUAAGAAGCUGUGUUUAAUUAGCUUUGGUGCUUAGAGAACUACUUGUUCAUCCAUAAAAUUUCUUUUUGCAGUUCCUUCAAGAGGAAUCAAUUCAGCCAAGUUUAUGGUUUUCAAAAGUUUUCUUUAUAUGUCCAGCACCUACUGACAGGAGACAACUAUGGAGCUUUUUAUAAUGAAGUUCUUCUGAACACAAGGAACAGUACUCUGACUGGGAACUUUAAGCAGCUGUGUGCAGAAACACUUAAUUCACCGACUUUUAGACCUUUUUCUAAGAACUGUCACUGUGAUAUCAAGUUAAACCAGAGUUAUGCUGUGCUUGUUAAUAAGUAAAUGGCAAAGCUCUAUUUUUUCCAGGUCCUUUUCUCCAGUGCUUCUUCUGGUCAGCGUAAUUUAAAAUGUUAAACAAUUCACAGCAUUGAGGUGAAACUUUUGAGGCCUUAGGAGAAAAUGUGGACACCAUUUUCUUUUAAUUCUGUUACUAUAUAGAAAGCUUUCAUCUUGAUUAUGAUGGGGUAACAUUGUUAAGUCUACUUUCACCUCAAAUAUUUUAAAAUUCUUUGUGUAAGUCCAUACAAAAAGAAACUAUAGGUGAAUUAUUAUGUUUCUGAAUAAGACAGAUGCCUGAUUACAGAUUUAGCAGUGAUCCAUUUUUAUGGCUCCAAAAGAUUUUUACUGAAUCUCUAACUUCAGAGAUUUUUUCCUACCAUAAUUGACUACAAACCUAUCAACUUUGUAUUAUACUCUUAAAUCCAUUAAACAAUAACAAAAAUAUCAAAGUAUUCCCUUCCGUAUAUUGAAUGAGGUACAAGAGUUCUAUCAGCUCAGUGCCUGUGAAAUAUCAAGGUGUCAUUGAACUGGGAACCAGUAUGAGAGACUGCUUACACCGAAGAACUCCAUGCUGAAGAACCUGAGAGCAUCUUCCCAGGUGUUCUCUCUCCAACUUUUACUGUAAAACCAUCCCUAAUAUGUAAGUUUGUGCGUGUCCUUUCCACCUAACUCCACAUAAGGUUCACUUACGCAUCAUUGGUUUGAUAGACUUAUUUAGGUACCAUUCCUAUUUUAAUGUUUCCCUUCCCGUUUUCAAAAGGACAUUUCUGAGUUAACCCACAUGUGAUUUCUUGAAUGUUUACAUGCCAGCAGAUCUAAAUGCAAUCCUUCCUGCAGCGUAACACUGGAUGAAGCUAUCACUACAAAGUAAGCAUUUUCAAGUAGUACUAUGAAGUGAGGACCAAGAAAACUAACAACUUGCAUCCUACACAUUAUUAAAUCUAUAGGUAAGCAUCCGAGAAAAUUGCCCGGAGAAAAAUAAUUUUGGGUUUCUUGAUAUUUGCUUCAUGAGAAUUCACAAAACAUUCUAGUCUAUUAAACUUGUACCAGCACAUUCUGCGUUGGUAUCUGUGCAUAAGUAAAAAUUUUACAAUAAAAUAAUCCUUUUAAAUUAGUUAAUGUCUUUGCCCCUCAAAAAAUCAUAGAAUCACAGAAUCAUUAAGGUUGGAAAAGACAUCUAAGAUCGAAUACAACCUUUGACCAAACAGCACCAUAUCAAUGAGACCAUGGCACUAAGUGCCAUGUCUAGACAUUUCUUGAAUGUUUCCAAGGAUGGUGACUCCAUCACCUCCCUGGCCAGCCUGUUCCAGUAUUUCCUAUGAAGAAAUUCUUCCUGAUGUCCAACCUGAACCUCCCCUGGCACAGCUUUAAACUAUGUCCUCUUGUCCUGUCACCUGAGAGAAGAGGCUGACCCCCACCUGGCCACAACCUCCUUUCAGGCGGUAGUAGAGUGAUAAGAUCUCCCCUGAGAUUGUUACUGUGUUUUGUGUGUACCUGAUAAAAAAAUAUGGCUCAUGCCUU